This 233-nucleotide long non-coding RNA is filed under the name Solanum tuberosum (potato). Its description in RNAcentral is "long non-coding RNA (STUB_LNC006486)". The record is from RNAcentral. Lineage: Eukaryota; Viridiplantae; Streptophyta; Magnoliopsida; Solanales; Solanaceae.
GGACAAGCAAAACAUUUACGAAAGGGAGCUAAACACACCUAAAUAACAGGACAGAGGAUAGGAUGAACAAACAGGAAGCAUCAACCAUACUUCAAGCCAACCGUAACAAAAUUUAGACAGUGAGCAGUAUCUAACCAAGAAAUUCGAGAAGAAACAUGACAGAGAAAAUCAGCUCAAACAGGCGAACAAAUCAUCUUAAAAAUAAAUAAAUACAUAUACUAGUUUUAGAGAGG